GACGAACGCUGGCGGCGUGCCUAAUACAUGCAAGUUGAGCGAUGAAGAUUGGUGCUUGCACCAAUUUGAAGAGCAGCGAACGGGUGAGUAACGCGUGGGGAAUCUGCCUUUGAGCGGGGGACAACAUUUGGAAACGAAUGCUAAUACCGCAUAACAACUUUAAACAUAAGUUUUAAGUUUGAAAGAUGCAAUUGCAUCACUCAAAGAUGAUCCCGCGUUGUAUUAGCUAGUUGGUGAGGUAAAGGCUCACCAAGGCGAUGAUACAUAGCCGACCUGAGAGGGUGAUCGGCCACCUUGGGACUGAGACACGGCCCAAACUCCUACGGGAGGCAGCAGUAGGGAAUCUUCGGCAAUGGACGAAAGUCUGACCGAGCAACGCCGCGUGAGUGAAGAAGGGUUUCGGAUCGUAAAACUCUGUUGGUAGAGAAGAACGUUGGUGAGAGUGGAAAGCUCAUCAAGUGACGGUAACUACCCAGAAAGGGACGGCUAACUACGUG
This 497-nucleotide ribosomal RNA is filed under the name uncultured bacterium. Its description in RNAcentral is "partial 16S ribosomal RNA". It matches the Rfam family "Bacterial small subunit ribosomal RNA", at positions 28 to 507 of the family's 1533-position model. The record is from RNAcentral.